AUGCGGCGGCGGCGGACCGGUAGCAACAGCAACAAGCAGCUUGGGGCGGCGGCGGCUGCAGCAACAGGGGCAGACUACACCAACAACAGCAGCAGAGGAAGUUGUUAUGAGCAGCCAUCUCCCGUCGCCGACCCCGAGAAAUUCACCGCUUCACUGGCUGCCGGGGUUGCCCCGUCCGGCUUUCACCCCUCCCCCUCGGUAGCAGCUGAGACGCGCGAGAAAAGCUUGGGAGAGCCGGCUGCCAAGGGGAUCUUUCGCGGCGGUGGAGCAGCGGUGACGCGGCGAAGCUGCGGUGAUAGCGCCGAGAACUCCGCUUCUGCCUCUCUUCUCGAAUGAGCGGAUGAGAACGGAGGAGAAAAAGAUGCAGAUUCUUUUUUGAAAGGAAAAAGUACACCGAAGGUCCCUGAACUUGUCAUCGAGUUAGAAAAACGUCCUCAAACCACAAAACUAGAUAUCUGGCGUCCCUUAACUAAUCAAAACCGGUCACAAUAGGUCCUUCGGUGGUUUUGAUCCCGGUUUUAUCCUAUGUGGCGGCUGAGUCAGCGUGGGACCUCACGUAGGCCCCACAUGUCAGGGUGCACAUCAUAUCUCUCUCUCCCUUCCUCUCUCUCUUUUCUCCUCGUUUACUCGCUGCAGGGCGGCUGGUAGGCGCGCGCGGCCGCCGGGCGGCCGGGGGGCGGCGAGCGGCGGCUGUGGGAACCGCCCUUCGACGCGUCCCUGCCGGCGCCACCCAUCUCCUACCCCAUCACCACGCUCGCGGUGCUCGCAUCCCGCGCCUACCUCUCCGACGACGGCAACUUCCACCUCCCCUUCAACCGCGCCUCCGUGCCGGCCCUCGCCUCCUCGCCCUGGGCCGCGCCGCUCCCGCCCCGGCGCCACAUCCUCGCGUGCCACGACUUCCGGGGCGGGUACCGCGACGACGCGGCGCUGCAGGGGGGCGACGACCCGGGCGCCUACGCGCUCUGGCACUGGCACCUCAUCGACGUCUUCGUCUACUUCUCGCACUACCUCUAUCACGCUCCCGCCGCCGUGCUGGGUCAACGCCGCCCUCCUCCACGGCGUCAAGGUGUCCCCCCCCCCCCAAACAAAAUAUCCAGCUUCAUGGGAGUUCUUGCUUCGAUUGAGUGGAUCGGGAUAGGUUCUUGCAUCCGCUCGAUUGACGUUUGUUUCUGCUUGGCGUCUGUGAGCGAAGGUUUUGGGGCGUUCAUCACAGAGUGGGAUAAAGUGGCAGAAAUCUGCGAGGAGAUGCUUGCUACAGAGGCUUCUACCCAAAUGUAUGCUGAAAGGCUAACAGAGCUGGCUGGGUAA
This 1308-nucleotide long non-coding RNA is filed under the name Oryza sativa Indica Group (long-grained rice). RNAcentral's name for it is "lncRNA OsPr106_08g0006280". The record is from RNAcentral. Lineage: Eukaryota; Viridiplantae; Streptophyta; Magnoliopsida; Poales; Poaceae.